GGAGAGGUGGCAGAGUUGGUCGAUCGCUUCUGAUUUGAAAUCAGACGAACUUCAAUAAGUUCCGUGGGUUCGAAUCCCACCCUCUCCA
This 88-nucleotide transfer RNA is filed under the name Apophlaea sinclairii. Its description in RNAcentral is "tRNA-Ser". It matches the Rfam family "tRNA". Rfam says of the family: Transfer RNA (tRNA) molecules are approximately 80 nucleotides in length. Their secondary structure includes four short double-helical elements and three loops (D, anti-codon, and T loops). The record is from RNAcentral. Lineage: Eukaryota; Rhodophyta; Florideophyceae; Hildenbrandiales; Hildenbrandiaceae.